Long non-coding RNA from Pseudopipra pipra, 744 nucleotides. RefSeq lists it as uncharacterized. NCBI's taxonomy places the organism in Eukaryota, Metazoa, Chordata, Aves, Passeriformes, Pipridae. The record is from RefSeq and is a predicted model, not a curated record. The transcript has 3 exons.
AUACCUGGUUUGUGUACACAGUGUGGGACUGUAUUCACAGUUAUGCAGAUGGGAAUAUGCAAAUAAUCCUCUGAAGUCAUGGCUAACAGGAAGUUACUUUAACAUUAUGGCAGAAGAAUAAUUUUCCAGAACAGCCAAAAAAUGCCACAGCAAAAGCAGUAAGAAAUCAUGAGAAACAGUAUCUUCAGUCAAGCUGUGAAAGGAGUCGGCAUACUGAUGAAGAAAAAGUACAGAAAUGUUGUCUUACAUCCCGAGGGCUGGAGCAGUAACAGAACUUUUGCAGUACAGAACACAGAACGAGCAGGAACUUUAUAGGCAAAAAUGUCCAUGGACUGUGACACAAAUCGGCCAGCCUCGGACUUUCUCUGCUGUCACAGCUGGGCACAGGUAUCAAAACUGUGAAUGUCUAAAUUGGGUUCCUAUAUGUCUGUAUGCAACAGAAGAUUAGGUGUGUGUUUAGGAAAAAUGGAGAGAGUAUGUACAUCUAAUUAAUUAGGUUUUUCUUAGCUCAUUUCUGAAUGACAGCAGGGAUGAUGAUCAACAGAAUCAGGUUGCUCUAAUUACUUUGCAUUCACCCAUGAGCACACCACACACCACAGCUGUAGGAGCUAAGUUUCAGUCAGACUGGCAGAGGCUUUGUCAGUGAGCAAGAGCUUGCAAUGAAAUGGCAACGUUUUCCUCAAAAAAUCUUGCUUUGCAUUGCUUGUAUUCAAGUGUCUGGCAAUCUACUAUUAAUCUAGGUAU